RNAcentral lists this ribosomal RNA (498 nucleotides) under uncultured bacterium. RNAcentral's name for it is "bacterial SSU rRNA". It matches the Rfam family "Bacterial small subunit ribosomal RNA", at positions 66 to 543 of the family's 1533-position model. The record is from RNAcentral.
ACGCGAAAGUCCCCUUCGGGGGACAAGUAGAGUGGCGCACGGGUGAGUAACACGUAGGUAAUCUACCUUCGGAUGGGGAAUAACAACCGGAAACGGUUGCUAAUACCGCAUAAUGCAGCGGCACCUAAUGGUGACAGUUGUUAAAGCGGGGGAUCGAAAGACCUCGCGUCUGAAGAGGAGCCUGCGGCGGAUUAGCUAGUUGGUAGGGUAACGGCCUACCAAGGCGACGAUCCGUAGCCGGCCUGAGAGGGCGGUCGGCCACACUGACACUGACAUACGGGUCAGACUCCUACGGGAGGCAGCAGUCGGGAAUUUUGGGCAAUGGGCGAAAGCCUGACCCAGCAACGCCGCGUGAAGGAUGAAAUCCCUCGGGAUGUAAACUUCGCAAGAACGGGAAGAAUAAGUAGGGGACAAUACCCCCUAUGAUGACGGUACCGUUUGUAAGCUCCGGCUAACUCCGUGCAAGCAGCCGCGGUAAUACGGGGGGAGCAAGCGUUG